This 502-nucleotide ribosomal RNA is filed under the name uncultured Pseudomonadota bacterium. RNAcentral's name for it is "bacterial SSU rRNA". It matches the Rfam family "Bacterial small subunit ribosomal RNA", at positions 404 to 896 of the family's 1533-position model. The record is from RNAcentral. Lineage: Bacteria; Pseudomonadati; Pseudomonadota.
AGUGACGAAGGCUUUCGGGUCGUAAAGCUCUGUCAGAUGGAAAGAAUUAAUUCGCUGAAAAUAUUGGCGAAUGAUGACGGUACCAUCAAAGGAAGCACCGGCUAACUCCGUGCCAGCAGCCGCGGUAAUACGGAGGGUGCAAGCGUUGUUCGGAAUUAUUGGGCGUAAAGCGCGUGUAGGCGGGAAAGCAGGUCAGGUGUGAAAUCCCUUGGCCCAACCAAGGAACUGCAUCUGAAACCAUUUUCCUCGAGUACGAUAUGGGAGGGCGGAAUUCCCAGUGUAGAGGUGAAAUUCAUAGAUAUUGGGAGGAACACCAGUGGCGAAGGCGACCCUCUGGAUCGAUACUGACGCUGAGACGCGAAAGCGUGGGUAGCAAACAGGAUUAGAUACCCUGGUAGUCCACGCUGUAAACGAUGUGCACUAGGUGUUGGAGGUACUUAAUCCUCCAGUGCCGCAGCUAACGCAUUAAGUGCACCGCCUGGGGAAUACGGCCGCAAGGUUA